RNAcentral lists this ribosomal RNA (442 nucleotides) under uncultured organism. RNAcentral's name for it is "bacterial SSU rRNA". It matches the Rfam family "Bacterial small subunit ribosomal RNA", at positions 346 to 782 of the family's 1533-position model. The record is from RNAcentral.
GUGCAGCGGCGAGAAUUUUUCUCAAUGGGGGCAACCCUGAAGGAGCGACGCCGCGUGGAGGAUGAAGGCUUUCGGGUUGUAAACUCCUGUCAUUUGAGAACAAGUGUGGGCAAGUAACUACUGCCUACUUGAUAGUAUCAGAAGAGGAAGAGACGGCUAACUCUGUGCCAGCAGCCGCGGUAAUACAGAGGUCUCAAGCGUUGUUCGGAUUCAUUGGGCGUAAAGGGUGCGUAGGUGGCGCGCUAAGUCAGGUGUGAAAUCUCGGGGCUUAACUCCGAAACUGCAUUUGAUACUGGCGUGCUUGAGGACUGGAGAGGAGACUGGAAUUCAUGGUGUAGCAGUGAAAUGCGUAGAGAUCAUGAGGAAGACCAGUGGCGAAGGCGGGUCUCUGGACAGUUCCUGACACUGAGGCACGAAGGCCAGGGGAGCAAACGGGAUUAGA